RNAcentral lists this ribosomal RNA (554 nucleotides) under Salmonella enterica subsp. enterica serovar Paratyphi B var. L(+) tartrate +. RNAcentral describes it as "partial 23S ribosomal RNA". It matches the Rfam family "Bacterial large subunit ribosomal RNA", at positions 635 to 1190 of the family's 2925-position model. Lineage: Bacteria; Pseudomonadati; Pseudomonadota; Gammaproteobacteria; Enterobacterales; Enterobacteriaceae. The record is from RNAcentral.
CUGUAGCAAGGUUAACCGAAUAGGGGAGCCGGAGGGAAACCGAGUCUUAAUUGGGCGUUAAGUUGCAGGGUAUAGACCCGAAACCCGGUGAUCUAGCCAUGGGCAGGUUGAAGGUUGGGUAACACUAACUGGAGGACCGAACCGACUAAUGUUGAAAAAUUAGCGGAUGACCUGUGGCUGGGGGUGAAAGGCCAAUCAAACCGGGAGAUAGCUGGUUCUCCCCGAAAGCUAUUUAGGUAGCGCCUCGUGAAUUCAUCUCCGGGGGUAGAGCACUGUUUCGGCUAGGGGGCCAUCCCGGCUUACCAACCCGAUGCAAACUGCGAAUACCGGAGAAUGUUAUCACGGGAGACACACGGCGGGUGCUAACGUCCGUCGUGAAGAGGGAAACAACCCAGACCGCCAGCUAAGGUCCCAAAGUCAUGGUUAAGUGGGAAACGAUGUGGGAAGGCCCAGACAGCCAGGAUGUUGGCUUAGAAGCAGCCAUCAUUUAAAGAAAGCGUAAUAGCUCACUGGUCGAGUCGGCCUGCGCGGAAGAUGUAACGGGGCUAAACCAU